AUUGAACGCUGGCGGCAUGCUUUACACAUGCAAGUCGAACGGCAGCGCGGGCUUCGUCCUGGCGUCGCGUGGCGAACGGGUGCGUAAUGCAACGGACCGUGCCCAUUAGUGGUGGAUAGCCCGGCGAAAUCCGGAUUAAUACCGCAUACGACCUGAGGGUGAAAGCGGGGGACCGAAAGGCCUCGCGCUCUUGGCGCGGCCGAUGUCGGAUUAGCUAGUUGGUGGGGUAAAGGUUUACCAAGGCGACGAUCCGUAGCUGGUCUGAGAGGACGACCAGCCACACUGGGACUGAGACACGGCCCAGACUCCUACGGGAGGCAGCAGUGGGGAAUUUUGGACAAUGGGGGCAAGCCUGAUCCAGCCAUGCCGCGUGCAGGAAGAAGGCCUUCGGGUUGUAAACCGCUUUUGUUCGGGAAGAAAGCAUCUGGGCUAAUACCCCGGGGGAAUGACGGUACCGGAAGAAUAAGCACCGGCUAACUACGUG
RNAcentral lists this ribosomal RNA (484 nucleotides) under uncultured bacterium. Its description in RNAcentral is "partial 16S ribosomal RNA". It matches the Rfam family "Bacterial small subunit ribosomal RNA", at positions 28 to 507 of the family's 1533-position model. The record is from RNAcentral.